CCCUUGGUAGCUCAGCCGGUAGAGCACGAGACUCUUAAUCUCAGAGUCGUGGGUUCAAGCCCCAUGUUGGGCA
Non-coding RNA from Podarcis lilfordi (Lilford's wall lizard), 73 nucleotides. NCBI's taxonomy places the organism in Eukaryota, Metazoa, Chordata, Lepidosauria, Squamata, Lacertidae. The record is from the annotation of a GenBank genome assembly.